RNAcentral lists this ribosomal RNA (421 nucleotides) under uncultured bacterium. Its description in RNAcentral is "partial 16S ribosomal RNA". It matches the Rfam family "Bacterial small subunit ribosomal RNA", at positions 360 to 773 of the family's 1533-position model. The record is from RNAcentral.
AAUUUUUGACAAUUGGGGCAACCCUGAUCCAGCCAUCCCGCGUGUGCGAUGAAGGCCUUCGGGUUGUAAAGCACUUUUGGCAGGGAAGAAAAGCCGCGGGUUAAUACCCUGCGUUGCUGACGGUUCCUUCAGCAUAAGCACCUGCUAACUACGUGCCAGCAGCCGCGGUAAUACGUAGGGUGCAAGCGUUAAACGGAAUUACUCGUCGUAAAGCGUGCGCAGGCGGUUCGGCAAGAAGGAUGUGAAAUACCGGGGCUUAACCUCGGAACUGCAUUCUUAACUGCCGGGCUAGAGUAUGUCAGAGGAGGGUAGAAUUCCGCGUGUAGCAGUGAAAUGCGUAGAGAUGCGGAGGAAUACCGAUGGCGAAGGCAGCCCCCUGGGAUAAUACUGACGCUCAUGCACGAAAGCGUGGGGAGCAAAC